UUAUAAAUAGAUAUUUAAAAUUAUAUAAAUGCAUCACAAGAUGCUUACACAAACCAAUCAAUUGCAAUAAUUAAUGAAACAUCUUCUACUGGAACUCCCACGGAAUUUAAUACCAUUAUUAACAUUACAUAACCACCGCUUGAAUACAAACCAGAUUAUAACAAUUUUAAAUAAUGAAAAUUGUAAUCCAUGCAAUUGAAUUAUGAAAAUUGCACCAAUACUUUCAUAUAGUGCUAUACCAUCCAUGUUUAUAGUUGCACCAAUUGGUACAAUAAAUCUAGAUAUUUUAGAAGGUAUUCCAAUAUGUUUUAAGCAUGAUAUUGUUACUGGAACUGUAGCUGUACUAAAGUAUAGAUAUUAAAUGUUUAUAAUUUUAUUAAUAAAAAUAAAAAUAUAUCUAUUUUAAUUGAUUACCUUGAUGAUGUACCAAAUGCUGUGACAAAAGCUGGUCCAAGUUUAACUAUAAUUUUGUAUGGAGAUUGAUGAGUACAUAUAAAAUAUAACAAAGGAAGUAAUAUUAAGCCUUGUAUAAGUAAACCACUGAAAACGGUUAAAAUAUAAAUUCCAAGUUGUUUUAUUACAUUAUUAAAAUUUUCCACUUCAAGAAUUUUUGCAGAAAUAAGAAAUAAUGCACUUAUUGGUACAAGCCUAUUACAAAAUAAAUGUUUGCAUAUAAUAAAAAUUUAUUUCUUUUGUUUAAA
Molecule: long non-coding RNA, 701 nt
Organism: Apis cerana (Asiatic honeybee)
Lineage: Eukaryota; Metazoa; Arthropoda; Insecta; Hymenoptera; Apidae
Source: RefSeq, a predicted model, not a curated record